AUCAUUCAUAGAGUGUAAAGGCAUAAGGGAGCUUGACUGCGAGACCUACAAGUCGAGCAGGGUCGAAAGACGGACUUAGUGAUCCGGUGGUUCCGCAUGGAAGGGCCAUCGCUCAACGGAUAAAAGCUACCCCGGGGAUAACAGGCUUAUCUCCCCCAAGAGUUCACAUCGACGGGGAGGUUUGGCACCUCGAUGUCGGCUCAUCGCAUCCUGGGGCUGUAGUCGGUCCCAAGGGUUGGGCUGUUCGCCCAUUAAAGCGGUACGCGAGCUGGGUUCAGAACGUCGUGAGACAGUUCGGUCCCUAUCCGUCGUGGGCGUAGGAAAUUUGAGAGGAGCUGUCCUUAGUACGAGAGGACCGGGAUGGACAUACCUCUGGUGUACCAGUUGUCGUGCCAACGGCAUAGCUGGGUAGCUAUGUGUGGACGGGAUAAGUGCUGAAAGCAUCUAAGCAUGAAGCCCCCCUCAAGAUGAGAUUUCCCAACUUCGGUUAUAAGAUCCCUCAAAGAUGAUGAGGUUAAUAGGUUCGAGGUGGAAGCAUGGUGACAUGUGGAGCUGACGAAUACUAAUCGAUCGAAGACUUAAUCAA
This 586-nucleotide ribosomal RNA is filed under the name Staphylococcus aureus. RNAcentral's name for it is "partial 23S ribosomal RNA". It matches the Rfam family "Bacterial large subunit ribosomal RNA", at positions 2337 to 2925 of the family's 2925-position model. Lineage: Bacteria; Bacillati; Bacillota; Bacilli; Caryophanales; Staphylococcaceae. The record is from RNAcentral.